Molecule: non-coding RNA, 98 nt
Filed under: Bacillus sp. (in: firmicutes)
Lineage: Bacteria; Bacillati; Bacillota; Bacilli; Caryophanales; Bacillaceae
Description: Bacillus sp. Guanine sequence
Rfam family: Purine riboswitch aptamer
About the family: Riboswitches are metabolite binding domains within certain messenger RNAs that serve as precision sensors for their corresponding targets. Allosteric rearrangement of mRNA structure is mediated by ligand binding, and this results in modulation of gene expression. A class of riboswitches that selectively recognises guanine and becomes saturated at concentrations as low as 5 nM.
Source: RNAcentral
GAAAAAUCAAAUAGAAUUUUUCGUAUAACCUCAAUAAUCGGCUUGAGGGUUUCUACUGGGAACCGGAAUUCCUAUCUACGAAAGGCAUUUUCCUGUGG